AUUGAACGCUGGCGGCAGGCCUAACACAUGCAAGUCGAGCGGAUGAAGGGAGCUUGCUCCUGGAUUCAGCGGCGGACGGGUGAGUAAUGCCUAGGAAUCUGCUUGGUAGUGGGGGAUAACGUCCGGAAACGGGCGCUAAUACCGCAUACGUCCUGAGGGAGAAAGUGGGGGAUCUUCGGACCUCACGCUAUCAGAUGAGCCUAGGUCGGAUUAGCUAGUUGGUGGGGUAAAGGCCUACCAAGGCGACGAUCCGUAACUGGUCUGAGAGGAUGAUCAGUCACACUGGAACUGAGACACGGUCCAGACUCCUACGGGAGGCAGCAGAGGGGAAUAUUGGACAAUGGGCGAAAGCCUGAUCCAGCCAUGCCGCGUGUGUGAAGAAGGUCUUCGGAUUGUAAAGCACUUUAAGUUGGGAGGAAGGGCAGUAAGUUAAUACCUUGCUGUUUUGACGUUACCAACAGAAUAAGCACCGGCUAACUUCGUG
Molecule: ribosomal RNA, 484 nt
Filed under: uncultured bacterium
Lineage: Bacteria
Description: partial 16S ribosomal RNA
Rfam family: Bacterial small subunit ribosomal RNA
Source: RNAcentral